Molecule: ribosomal RNA, 460 nt
Filed under: uncultured bacterium
Lineage: Bacteria
Description: partial 16S ribosomal RNA
Rfam family: Bacterial small subunit ribosomal RNA
Source: RNAcentral
CCUACGGGGUGCAGCAGUGAGGAAUAUUGGUCAAUGGACGAGAGUCUGAACCAGCCAAGUAGCGUGAAGGAUGACUGCCCUAUGGGUUGUAAACUUCUUUUAUAAAGGAAUAAACCGAGGCACGUGUGCAUUUUUGCAUGUACUUUAUGAAUAAGGAUCGGCUAACUCCGUGCCAGCAGCCGCGGUAAUACGGAGGAUCCGAGCGUUAUCCGGAUUUAUUGGGUUUAAAGGGAGCGUAGGUGGGUUGUUAAGUCAGUUGUGAAAGUUUGCGGCUUAACCGUAAAAUUGCAAUUGAUACUGGCAGUCUGGAGUACAGUUGAGGUAGGCGGAAUUCGUGGUGUAGCGGUGAAAUGCUUAGAUAUCACGAAGAACCCCGAUUGCGAAGGCAGCUUACUAAACUGUGACUGACAUUGAUGCUCGAAAGUGUGGGUAUCAAACAGGAUUAGAUACCCGGGUAGUC